GGAGUCUUCCACAAUGGGCGAAAGCCUGAUGGAGCAACGCCGCGUGUGUGAUGAAGGGUUUCGGCUCGUAAAACACUGUUGUAAGAGAAGAAUGACAUUGAGAGUAACUGUUCAAUGUGUGACGGUAUCUUACCAGAAAGGAACGGCUAAAUACGUGCCAG
Molecule: ribosomal RNA, 161 nt
Filed under: uncultured bacterium
Lineage: Bacteria
Description: partial 16S ribosomal RNA
Rfam family: Bacterial small subunit ribosomal RNA
Source: RNAcentral